UGCCGCAAGGCCAUUAAUAUAAUACAACUUUUAACAACGGAUCUCUUGGCUCUCGCAUCGAUGAAGAACGCAGCGAAAUGCGAUAAGUAAUGUGAAUUGCAGAAUUCAGUGAAUCAUCGAAUCUUUGAACGCACCUUGCGCUCCCUGGUAUUCCGGGGAGCACGCCUGUUCGAGUGUCGCGAAAUUUCUCAAGCUUGGAUGGCUUUUUUGUCUGUCCUUAGCCUUGGUUGUUGGGCUUUGCCGUGUCCUUCAUUGGGUACGGCUGGCCUUAAAAGCAUUAGCUGAUCCUCGUGUGGCACUGGUUCUACUCAGCGUGAUAACAAUCUGAUCGCUGAGGACAUCUUUCGGGAUGGCCAGCUCUCACUUGGGUUGCUUCUAGACUUGGUUUUGCAGAUUGUUCAAUCUGCGUUCCACUUUUCAGCUUUGACCUCGAAUCAGGUGGGACUACCCGCUGAACUUAAGCAUAUCAA
Molecule: ribosomal RNA, 470 nt
Filed under: uncultured fungus
Lineage: Eukaryota; Fungi
Description: eukaryotic LSU rRNA
Rfam family: 5.8S ribosomal RNA (bases 26-179)
Source: RNAcentral